CCUCACAGGGUUGGGGAUUAAAAGUUGUAGUCCAUUCCUUAUAAUUCCAGGAGGUAGGAAAAAAUAAGUAAAUAAAAUGAGAAAUAAAGUUUUAAUCCCGGGCCCACAAAAAGGACCCUGGAAAACUCUCCACUUUUUGGGUUGAGACCUCAAAAGACCAAACUCUACAAGAUAAAUUGAAAACAGACCAUUCAUUGCUCAGAAACUGCUCAGAUAUGAGUCAUCUCAAUCACUAAAAUUAGUUUGAUUAUCUCAGAUUGCUAGAGCCCCUAGAUGCCUUCCAGAAACAAAUGUAUAUCCAUUCUGUAGAAGGAAAACGUACCCCUAGACCUCCAAUUAUUUCUAAAAAUAUUUUUCAAACACAAUGCCUAUCAUAUAAUCAGAAAUAACCAGGCACAUGAAGAGAAUAAUAAGGGAGUAAUAACAAUCAAGAAUUUUACAAAAUUAAUAACAGGCAACAAACCACAGAUCCAAGAGUCUCAGAUAGCACCAAGCAGGAUAAAUGCCAAGUAAUAAUCUAUAUCUAUAGAUUAUUAUAUUCAAACUGCAGAAAAUCGAAGACAAAAUCUUGAAAGGAGCCA
Molecule: long non-coding RNA, 581 nt
Filed under: Homo sapiens (human)
Lineage: Eukaryota; Metazoa; Chordata; Mammalia; Primates; Hominidae
Description: HSALNT0222429
Source: RNAcentral